RNAcentral lists this ribosomal RNA (1150 nucleotides) under Salmonella enterica subsp. enterica serovar Typhimurium. RNAcentral describes it as "bacterial SSU rRNA". It matches the Rfam family "Bacterial small subunit ribosomal RNA", at positions 91 to 1258 of the family's 1533-position model. The record is from RNAcentral. Lineage: Bacteria; Pseudomonadati; Pseudomonadota; Gammaproteobacteria; Enterobacterales; Enterobacteriaceae.
ACGAGUGGCGGACGGGUGAGUAAUGUCUGGGAAACUGCCUGAUGGAGGGGGAUAACUACUGGAAACGGUGGCUAAUACCGCAUAACGUCGCAAGACCAAAGAGGGGGACCUUCGGGCCUCUUGCCAUCAGAUGUGCCCAGAUGGGAUUAGCUUGUUGGUGAGGUAACGGCUCACCAAGGCGACGAUCCCUAGCUGGUCUGAGAGGAUGACCAGCCACACUGGAACUGAGACACGGUCCAGACUCCUACGGGAGGCAGCAGUGGGGAAUAUUGCACAAUGGGCGCAAGCCUGAUGCAGCCAUGCCGCGUGUAUGAAGAAGGCCUUCGGGUUGUAAAGUACUUUCAGCGGGGAGGAAGGUGUUGUGGUUAAUAACCGCAGCAAUUGACGUUACCCGCAGAAGAAGCACCGGCUAACUCCGUGCCAGCAGCCGCGGUAAUACGGAGGGUGCAAGCGUUAAUCGGAAUUACUGGGCGUAAAGCGCACGCAGGCGGUCUGUCAAGUCGGAUGUGAAAUCCCCGGGCUCAACCUGGGAACUGCAUUCGAAACUGGCAGGCUUGAGUCUUGUAGAGGGGGGUAGAAUUCCAGGUGUAGCGGUGAAAUGCGUAGAGAUCUGGAGGAAUACCGGUGGCGAAGGCGGCCCCCUGGACAAAGACUGACGCUCAGGUGCGAAAGCGUGGGGAGCAAACAGGAUUAGAUACCCUGGUAGUCCACGCCGUAAACGAUGUCUACUUGGAGGUUGUGCCCUUGAGGCGUGGCUUCCGGAGCUAACGCGUUAAGUAGACCGCCUGGGGAGUACGGCCGCAAGGUUAAAACUCAAAUGAAUUGACGGGGGCCCCGCACAAGCGGUGGAGCAUGUGGUUUAAUUCGAUGCAACGCGAAGAACCUUACCUGGUCUUGACAUCCACAGAAGGUUCCAGAGAUGAAACUGUGCCUUCGGAACAGUGAGAAAGGUGCUGCAUGGGCUGUCGUCAGCUCGGGUUGUGAAUGUUGGGUUAGUCCCGCACGAGCGCACCCUUAUCCUUUGUUGCCACGAUCAGGCGGUACUCAAAGGAAACUGCCAGGAUACUGGAGGAGGGGGGAUGACGUCAAGUCAUCAUGCUUCACGACACUGGCUACACUGCUCAAUGGCAUCCAAGAGAAGCUACUUCUG